GUUGGCAGUAAGGAGAAAAAGAUCUACCAGGCAAGUGCCUGCAAGUCAUAGUACCUCAGGGAUUCCAAUCAACAUUUGCUUGCUGGUGAGUGGUUCUACUUCAAGUUAAGAAACAAAUUCUCAUGGCAAACUGCUUGGAUACUGUUUCCCAAAAGUUAGAAGAACCAAGCCUGCAAGGUGGCAUGGAUUCCUCCGGAAGGACUCCACCCAACUUUGGUCUCAGCAGGCCCUGCUGAGAACAGCCUCGUCACAGAAAAGUGCUGAGGAGGAUGCAAAAGUCUCCAUCAAGGUGCCACUGUGAAAGAAGAAACAUAUUUGAUUACAUCAUGUUCACCGCCCAAAGACUAAUUAAUUAUUAAGACCAAAAAACCCAAAAAACCAAAAAUUGGAAAAUGACUAGUGUUGGUGAGGAUGUGGAGAAAGUGGAACCCUCGUGCCUUGCCAGUGGAAAUAUAAAAUGAUGCAGCUGCUGUGGAAAGCAGAGUGGUGGUUCAAAAAGCUGGACAAAGCUCUCCUUGAAGACAGGACCAUGUCUUAUUCAACUUUGUAAUCCCAGGACCUGGCACAAAAGCUGGCACCUAUUCAGUGCCUUGGUUCUUUGAGUGUGGCCCUGGACCAGAAGCAUCAACAUCAACCAGGAACUUACUAGAAAUGCACUUUCUUGGGUGCCCCACAAGACCUGCUGAAUCAGAAACUCUGGGGAUGUAGUUCAACACCUGUGCGCUGACAAGCCCUCCAGGUGAUCCGGAUACAUGCUCACGUUUGAGAACCGUGGCUUUACGGGAGAAAACAGUCAUGAUUGCUUACAACAGAAUACCAUAAAUUGCUUUUUGAAAAGCAGUGCAAUAUAUGGGCAUACUAAAAUUGAAGCAUGACAGAUAAAUAUGACAUCAGGAUGUCAUCCAAUGAAAAAUAGAUUUUUUAUUCUGUGUCCUGGACACGGCAUUGCUGAUUUUUAUUUAUCCACCUUUCUCCUGCCUGAGGGAAAACAAGUAUUUAAAAUGCAUUGCUAUUUGCAUUGAAGAGCUUGUCUGCUCCCUGAAGCCUCAAGAUCAUUCCUCAAAGACACGGAGUGCUGAUUGGGACAUCCCGCAGGUUAAAGUGAGUUUCGGACUCGAUGGUUCUGCACAGCAAAGCUGGGCCGUGUCCCACUUCAACCUCACUUUAUGGGAUUUACGGCACAUUUUGAAGAUGAGUGAUUAGAAGAUAAAGACUGGAGAAGUUUGCUCCUUGGUGACUGAGGUAAGGAGGGAUGUAUGUGGAGCAUUUUGAAUUUAGUUUUGAUGGUCUUUUGAAGGAAACUGGGUUCCUUGGACCCAGCUUGUGAUCCAGAGACUUCAUGUGGAGAAGAUGGGGAAUUUCUGAUAGGCCAG
Molecule: long non-coding RNA, 1373 nt
Filed under: Equus caballus (horse)
Lineage: Eukaryota; Metazoa; Chordata; Mammalia; Perissodactyla; Equidae
Description: lncRNA (ENSECAG00000042984.2)
Source: RNAcentral